AGCGUAGACGGAAUGGCAAGUCUGAUGUGAAAGGCCGGGGCUCAACCCCGGGACUGCAUUGGAAACUGUCGAUCUAGAGUACCGGAGGGGUAAGUGGAAUUCCUAGUGUAGCGGUGAAAUGCGUAGAUAUUAGGAGGAACACCAGUGGCGAAGGCGGCUUACUGGACGGUAACUGACGUUGAGGCUCGAAAGCGUGGGGAGCAAACA
This 207-nucleotide ribosomal RNA is filed under the name uncultured bacterium. RNAcentral describes it as "partial 16S ribosomal RNA". It matches the Rfam family "Bacterial small subunit ribosomal RNA", at positions 568 to 774 of the family's 1533-position model. The record is from RNAcentral.